GUGGUGAGAGACGAGUGGACGGCCGAAGUUUUUGAUCAAGAAUUGUUAAGGUAAAUUCAACUACUUCAUCUAAAAGUUUAUAGUGUUAGAUUCAUGUAAAUUAUUUUCUGAAAAGGGUAAGUUUUGUUUCCGGUCUAGUUUCUAGAACACUAGUUGAAUCACACCAUUUAAAAAUUUAAACCGGAAGAUAACAUUUUCAGGUACAAGAACAUUGAGGAGGAACUGGUGUCAAUGCUGCAUAUAGCAAUGGUUUGUGUAGUGCCACAGCCUGAGAAGAGGCCAACAAUGGGUGAAGUGGUUAAAAUGAUAGAGGAAAUAAGGGUGGAGCAAUCUCCAAUGGGAGAAGACUAUGAUGAAUCUCGAAAUUCCCUCUCCCCUUCACUUGCCACAACUGAUCAAGAUGCAUUGCCCUAACUCUAUAUUCUAGUUGGACAAGUAAUAUUCUGGUUUGCCAAUUCCAUUGCUUAUGGUAUGGACUGAGGACUUCCUUUUGAUUUUGAAUUAUAAUGUAAUUUAAUUUCUCUUUCAAGUGCUCAGUCACUUGCAGAUCAUGUUGAAUCAUGUUAAAUUUAGGGAUUGAAAUUGCGAUACCAACAUGUCGUGUUCGUGUCAAAGGAGUGUAUGUGAUCUACCACUAUAAGUAUUUAUUAGAAUUUAAAAAGAAUAUCUGUGCAAUAGUUCUUCUUAAACGUAAUCAAGUUGUUUCUCGUUGAUUUAUAUGUAAAUUACUCAUGUUUGAUUCUAAUUGUUGAAAAUUAU
Molecule: long non-coding RNA, 759 nt
Filed under: Olea europaea subsp. europaea
Lineage: Eukaryota; Viridiplantae; Streptophyta; Magnoliopsida; Lamiales; Oleaceae
Source: RNAcentral